RNAcentral lists this ribosomal RNA (432 nucleotides) under Triticum aestivum (bread wheat). Its description in RNAcentral is "partial small subunit ribosomal RNA". The record is from RNAcentral. Lineage: Eukaryota; Viridiplantae; Streptophyta; Magnoliopsida; Poales; Poaceae.
AUGCAACCAAAGAGCAAAGGAGGUGUUGGUUUUAGAUAUUUCAGAAUCUUUAACCAAGCACUAUUAGCUAGGAAAGCAUGGAGAUUAAUUCUGAAGCCUGACAGCCUAUGCGCACUAGUGCUUAAAGCCAGAUACUAUCCGGAGGGUAAACUUGAGGAUAUUGUUUUCACUGGCAAUGCUUCUUCUUCUUGGCAAGCUAUUAGCUACGAUCUUGAACUCUUGAAGAAGGGCUUGGUUUGGAGAGUAGGGAACGGAAGAAGUAUACGAGUGUGGCGGGACAGAUGGAUCCCCAGACCCUUCUCCUAUAAACCCUUCACCUUACAAGGGAGGUGCAGAAUUCGUUUCGUCCCAGAUUUGCUUUUGAGAAUGGUUCAUGGAAGGUUGGCCUGCUACAGGGAUACUUCAUGCCUGCAGAUGUUGUGGAGAUUAUGA